RNAcentral lists this microRNA precursor (95 nucleotides) under Otolemur garnettii (small-eared galago). Its description in RNAcentral is "miRNA (ENSOGAG00000024227.1)". The record is from RNAcentral. Lineage: Eukaryota; Metazoa; Chordata; Mammalia; Primates; Galagidae.
GAAGAGCUGGCCAAGACCUGGUCCCAGGAGAUUGAAGAGAACACCUCAGUGGUCCCCUCACAGUUUGCUGAGGUCGGAGCUGCUAAGAUAAUGCU